GACGAACGCUGGCGGCGUGCUUAACACAUGCAAGUCGAACGGUGAACCUCUUCGUAGGGGCUCAGUGGCGAACGGGUGAGUAACACGUGGGCAACCUGCCCCCGGCUCUGGGAUAACUCCAAGAAAUUGGGGCUAAUACCGGAUGUUCACCGCUUCCCGCAUGGGUGGUGGUGGAAAGGGUUUCCGGCUGGGGAUGGGCCCGCGGCCUAUCAGCUUGUUGGUGGGGUAGUGGCCUACCAAGGCGACGACGGGUAGCCGGCCUGAGAGGGUGACCGGCCACACGGGGACUGAGACACGGCCCAGACUCCUACGGGAGGCAGCAGUGGGGAAUAUUGCGCAAUGGGCGGAAGCCUGACGCAGCGACGCCGCGUGGGGGAUGACGGCCUUCUUGUUGUAAACCUCUUUCAGCAGGGACGAAGCGCAAGUGACGGUACCUGCAGAAGAAGCACCGGCCAACUACGUG
This 463-nucleotide ribosomal RNA is filed under the name uncultured bacterium. Its description in RNAcentral is "partial 16S ribosomal RNA". It matches the Rfam family "Bacterial small subunit ribosomal RNA", at positions 28 to 507 of the family's 1533-position model. The record is from RNAcentral.